GACGAACGCUGGCGGCGUGCCUAAUACAUGCAAGUCGAACGCAUUUUCUUUCACCGUAGCUUGCUACACCGAAAGAAAAUGAGUGGCGAACGGGUGAGUAACACGUGGGUAACCUGCCCAUCAGCGGGGGAUAACACUUGGAAACAGGUGCUAAUACCGCAUAAUUCCAUUUACUGCAUGGUAGAUGGAUGAAAGGCGCUUUUGCGUCACUGAUGGAUGGACCCGCGGUGCAUUAGCUAGUUGGUGGGGUAACGGCCUACCAAGGCUGCGAUGCAUAGCCGACCUGAGAGGGUGAUCGGCCACACUGGGACUGAGACACGGCCCAGACUCCUACGGGAGGCAGCAGUAGGGAACCUUCGGCAAUGGACGCAAGUCUGACCGAGCAACGCCGCGUGAGUGAAGAAGGUUUUCGGAUCGUAAAACUCUGUUGUUAGAAAAGAACAAGGAUGAGAGUGGAAAGUUCAUCCCUUGACGGUAUCUAACCAGAAAGCCACGGCUAACUACGUG
This 507-nucleotide ribosomal RNA is filed under the name uncultured bacterium. RNAcentral describes it as "partial 16S ribosomal RNA". It matches the Rfam family "Bacterial small subunit ribosomal RNA", at positions 28 to 507 of the family's 1533-position model. The record is from RNAcentral.